GACGAACGCUGGCGGCGUGCUUAACACAUGCAAGUCGAACGCUGAACCCGCUUCGGUGGGGGAUGAGUGGCGAACGGGUGAGUAACACGUGGGCAACCUGCCCCCGGCUCUGGGAUAACUCCAAGAAAUUGGGGCUAAUACCGGAUGUGACCGCUGGCCGCAUGGUCUGGUGGUGGAAAGGGUUUCCGGCUGGGGAUGGGCCCGCGGCCUAUCAGCUUGUUGGUGGGGUAGUGGCCUGCCAAGGCGACGACGGGUAGCCGGCCUGAGAGGGUGACCGGCCACACUGGGACUGAGACACGGCCCAGACUCCUACGGGAGGCAGCAGUGGGGAAUAUUGCGCAAUGGGCGGAAGCCUGACGCAGCGACGCCGCGUGGGGGAUGACGGCCUUCGGGUUGUAAACCUCUUUCAGCAGGGACGAAGCGCAAGUGACGGUACCUGCAGAAGAAGCACCGGCCAACUACGUG
Molecule: ribosomal RNA, 465 nt
Filed under: uncultured bacterium
Lineage: Bacteria
Description: partial 16S ribosomal RNA
Rfam family: Bacterial small subunit ribosomal RNA
Source: RNAcentral